AGCGUACACGGUGGAUGCCCUGGCAGUCAGAGGCGAUGAAGGACGUGCUAAUCUGCGAAAAGCGUCGGUAAGGUGAUAUGAACCGUUACAGCCGGCGAUGUCCGAAUGGGGAAACCCAGUGCAAUUCGUUGCACUAUCGUUAACUGAAUACAUAGGUUAACGAGGCGAACCGGGGGAACUGAAACAUCUAAGUACCCCGAGGAAAAGAAAUCAACCGAGAUUCCCCCAGUAGCGGCGAGCGAACGGGGAGCAGCCCAGAGUCUGAAUCAGCUUGUGUGUUAGUGGAACGGUCUGGAAAGUCCGACGGUACAGGGUGAUAGUCCCGUACACCAAAAUGCACAGGCUGUGAACUCGAAGAGUAGGGCGGGACACGUGGUAUCCUGUCUGAAUAUGGGGGGACCAUCCUCCAAGGCUAAAUACUCCUGACUGACCGAUAGUGAACCAGUACCGUGAGGGAAAGGCGAAAAGAACCCCGGCGAGGGGAGUGAAAAAGAACCUGAAACCGUGUACGUACAAGCAGUGGGAGCACCUUCGGGUGUGACUGCGUACCUUUUGUAUAAUGGGUCAGCGACUUAUAUUCUGUAGCAAGGUUAACCGUAUAGGGGAGCCGCAGGGAAACCGAGUCUUAACUGGGCGUUAAGUUGCAGGGUAUAGACCCGAAACCCGGUGAUCUAGCCAUGGGCAGGUUGAAGGUUGGGUAACACUAACUGGAGGACCGAACCGACUAAUGUUGAAAAAUUAGCGGAUGACUUGUGGCUGGGGGUGAAAGGCCAAUCAAACCGGGAGAUAGCUGGUUCUCCCCGAAAGCUAUUUAGGUAGCGCCUCGUGAAUUCAUCUUCGGGGGUAGAGCACUGUUUCGGCUAGGGGGUCAUCCCGACUUACCAACCCGAUGCAAACUACGAAUACCGAAGAAUGUUAUCACGGGAGACACACGGCGGGUGCUAACGUCCGUCGUGAAGAGGGAAACAACCCAGACCGCCAGCUAAGGUCCCAAAGUCAUGGUUAAGUGGGAAACGAUGUGGGAAGGCACAGACAGCCAGGAUGUUGGCUUAGAAGCAGCCAUCAUUUAAAGAAAGCGUAAUAGCUCACUGGUCGAGUCGGCCUGCGCGGAAGAUGUAACGGGGCUAAACCAUGCACCGAAGCUGCGGCAGCGACACUAUGUGUUGUUGGGUAGGGGAGCGUUCUGUAAGCCUGCGAAGGUGUGCUGUGAGGCAUGCUGGAGGUAUCAGAAGUGCGAAUGCUGACAUAAGUAACGAUAAAGCGGGUGAAAAGCCCGCUCGCCGGAAGACCAAGGGUUCCUGUCCAACGUUAAUCGGGGCAGGGUGAGUCGACCCCUAAGGCGAGGCCGAAAGGCGUAGUCGAUGGGAAACAGGUUAAUAUUCCUGUACUUGGUGUUACUGCGAAGGGGGGACGGAGAAGGCUAUGUUAGCCGGGCGACGGUUGUCCCGGUUUAAGCAUGUAGGCUGGUUAUCCAGGCAAAUCCGGAUAAUCAAGGCUGAGGUGUGAUGACGAGGCACUACGGUGCUGAAGUAACAAAUGCCCUGCUUCCAGGAAAAGCCUCUAAGCAUCAGGUAACAUCAAAUCGUACCCCAAACCGACACAGGUGGUCAGGUAGAGAAUACCAAGGCGCUUGAGAGAACUCGGGUGAAGGAACUAGGCAAAAUGGUGCCGUAACUUCGGGAGAAGGCACGCUGGUGUGUAGGUGAAGUCCCUGCGGAUGGAGCUGAGACCAGUCGAAGAUACCAGCUGGCUGCAACUGUUUAUUAAAAACACAGCACUGUGCAAACACGAAAGUGGACGUAUACGGUGUGACGCCUGCCCGGUGCCGGAAGGUUAAUUGAUGGGGUUAUCCGUAAGGAGAAGCUCUUGAUCGAAGCCCCGGUAAACGGCGGCCGUAACUAUAACGGUCCUAAGGUAGCGAAAUUCCUUGUCGGGUAAGUUCCGACCUGCACGAAUGGCGUAAUGAUGGCCAGGCUGUCUCCACCCGAGACUCAGUGAAAUUGAACUCGCUGUGAAGAUGCAGUGUACCCGCGGCAAGACGGAAAGACCCCGUGAACCUUUACUAUAGCUUGACACUGAACAUUGAGCCUUGAUGUGUAGGAUAGGUGGGAGGCUUUGAAGCGUGGACGCCAGUCUGCGUGGAGCCAACCUUGAAAUACCACCCUUUAAUGUUUGAUGUUCUAACGUUGGCCCCUUACCGGGGUUGCGGACAGUGUCUGGUGGGUAGUUUGACUGGGGCGGUCUCCUCCCAAAGCGUAACGGAGGAGCACGAAGGUUAGCUAAUCCUGGUCGGACAUCAGGAGGUUAGUGCAAUGGCAUAAGCUAGCUUGACUGCGAGCGUGACGGCGCGAGCAGGUGCGAAAGCAGGUCAUAGUGAUCCGGUGGUUCUGAAUGGAAGGGCCAUCGCUCAACGGAUAAAAGGUACUCCGGGGAUAACAGGCUGAUACCGCCCAAGAGUUCAUAUCGACGGCGGUGUUUGGCACCUCGAUGUCGGCUCAUCACAUCCUGGGGCUGAAGUAGGUCCCAAGGGUAUGGCUGUUCGCCAUUUAAAGUGGUACGCGAGCUGGGUUUAGAACGUCGUGAGACAGUUCGGUCCCUAUCUGCCGUGGGCGCUGGAGAAUUGAGGGGGGCUGCUCCUAGUACGAGAGGACCGGAGUGGACGCAUCACUGGUGUUCGGGUUGUCAUGCCAAUGGCACUGCCCGGUAGCUAAAUGCGGAAGAGAUAAGUGCUGAAAGCAUCUAAGCACGAAACUUGCCCCGAGAUGAGUUCU
This 2771-nucleotide ribosomal RNA is filed under the name human gut metagenome. RNAcentral describes it as "bacterial LSU rRNA". It matches the Rfam family "Bacterial large subunit ribosomal RNA". The record is from RNAcentral.